RNAcentral lists this ribosomal RNA (468 nucleotides) under uncultured bacterium. RNAcentral's name for it is "partial 16S ribosomal RNA". It matches the Rfam family "Bacterial small subunit ribosomal RNA", at positions 28 to 507 of the family's 1533-position model. The record is from RNAcentral.
GACGAACGCUGGCGGCGUGCUUAACACAUGCAAGUCGAACGGAAAGGCCCUGCUUUUGUGGGGUGCUCGAGUGGCGAACGGGUGAGUAACACGUGAGUAACCUGCCCUUGACUUUGGGAUAACUUCAGGAAACUGGGGCUAAUACCGGAUAGGAGCUCCUGCUGCAUGGUGGGGGUUGGAAAGUUUCGGCGGUUGGGGAUGGACUCGCGGCUUAUCAGCUUGUUGGUGGGGUAGUGGCUUACCAAGGCUUUGACGGGUAGCCGGCCUGAGAGGGUGACCGGCCACAUUGGGACUGAGAUACGGCCCAGACUCCUACGGGAGGCAGCAGUGGGGAAUAUUGCACAAUGGGCGGAAGCCUUAUGCAGCAACGCCGCGUGCGGGAUGACGGCCUUCGGGUUGUAAACCGCUUUCACCUGUGACGAAGCGUGAGUGACGGUAAUGGGUAAAGAAGCACCGGCUAACUACGUG